Non-coding RNA from Sus scrofa (pig), 1119 nucleotides. Lineage: Eukaryota; Metazoa; Chordata; Mammalia; Artiodactyla; Suidae. The record is from RefSeq and is a predicted model, not a curated record.
UAAAAAAAGAGAAAGAAAAAAAAAAAAAGGUUCAGUUUUUAGAUUUAAAUCAAAGUUAGAUCAAACUAAAGCCUUGCUCCCCAGUAGCCCUCGAGGAGUCAAGCUCUCAGUAGCCAUGGGCAGCCAGUGGGAACCGCAAUGGCCAUUCAGGUCUAUUCUGCUGAAGCCACUUAGCAUCCUCCAGCUGCAUCUUGUUGACUCUUGUUAAUCCUGUUAUCCCCCCACCCCCACCUCAUGUGACAGCCGUGGCUUGGCUUCCUCAGUUGCAGCUUGGAGAAUUUCACUUCGCCCCCUCUUCACCCGAGACUGGGGCGCAUAAGUGAACUUUCAUCCUUUCAGAAAAUCUAGAGGACCAAACACAAGCAAAUGGGGGCACAGGGAGAGGGGGCUCUUGCAUCCCGUUGCCAGGGUUUGACCAGCCCUCCCACCUAAGGGCAGAAGAUGCUGGCAAAUGCUUCCACCUCACCUGUAAGACGCGAACAGUAGGCAACGCACCUCCUUUACAGGCUGGAGAACCGGGACACUCCAGGUACAGCUCUCACAACACACCCUGGCUUGUGCUAAGGCCCACAUCACUGUCAGCCAGUACUAGUUAAGCAGAGUUAGUUCAAUACCCAUCUACCCCAACUGGUAAUCACAAGGUAGUUCCUCCCACUGAAUUCAUUUUUCUACAUUUCCCUCUAAUCCCCACUUGCUUUGUUUUCUGAAAAGAAAACCCCAAGUGGGCAAUGAGAUGCCCUUCUAAGCAGCUGCAGGGGGUGCAGGCGUGCCCACUCUGGCCUCUGCACACAAGCUGGCCGGCCCUUAGGGUGGACCAGGACCGGAACAUGCAAGCGGCCCACGAGAAGGUCACACUCUGGUCUCUAGAGCGCUCUAAGAACUCCCUACGUAUGUCGGUGUGACCGACGGCACAGAGACAUCCCACCGUCGCGUGGAGCAAGCACUCAGCUCUGCUGGUCCCUACGAUCAAAGAUCCACCCACUUAGACAGACACAGCAGUUAAAUACAUUUAAUAGGACCAAGCCCACCUUCCUCUCAAUGUUAAAGUAAAUCUAGAGAACAAACUCAACAUUUAAAACUGUUAAAAAGUUCCUCAGCUCAUUUAAAAAAACAAAAACA